Molecule: ribosomal RNA, 403 nt
Filed under: uncultured bacterium
Lineage: Bacteria
Description: bacterial SSU rRNA
Rfam family: Bacterial small subunit ribosomal RNA
Source: RNAcentral
AGCGAACGCUGGCGGCAGGCUUAACACAUGCAAGUCGAGCGGGCGUAGCAAUACGUCAGCGGCAGACGGGUGAGUAACGCGUGGGAACAUACCUUUUGGUUCGGAACAACACAGGGAAACUUGUGCUAAUACCGGAUAAGCCCUUACGGGGAAAGAUUUAUCGCCGAAAGAUUGGCCCGCGUCUGAUUAGCUAGUUGGUGAGGUAACGGCUCACCAAGGCGACGAUCAGUAGCUGGCUGGGAGGAUGAUCAGCCACAUUGGGACUGAGACACGGCCCAAACUCCUACGGGAGGCAGCAGUGGGGAAUAUUGGACAAUGGGCGCAAGCCUGAUCCAGCCAUGCCGCGUGAGUGAUGAAGGCCCUAGGGUUGUAAGCUCUUUUGUGCGGGAAGAUAAUGACGGUA